Molecule: long non-coding RNA, 4839 nt
Organism: Dicentrarchus labrax (European seabass)
Lineage: Eukaryota; Metazoa; Chordata; Actinopteri; Moronidae
Exons: 3
Source: RefSeq, a predicted model, not a curated record
AUUCCUUUAGAGUUCAUGGGUAACGCUGGCUGGGAUCCUGCAGGGUUGAAAAACCAUAAAUUACCUGACAGGGACAUGAAGACAGCAGCAACCGCAGAAGCUUUUCUGAGAGGUUCAAACCUGCAGGGAGCAGCUUCACGCGGGGGUCACUCUCCAGUCAGUCAGACUGGAGGGGAUAACACGGUUUGAACUGAGUAAGUUAUGGGUGAGGAGACGUGGGAGGGGAGGCGGGGGAGUCGAUGGUGAGCCUCUUCCGGAAGAAGAUCCACCUUAAGAAAAUAAGGGAAAAAAAGAGCCAGAAGGCCCCAUCUGACACGCUGACAGCUCGCCAUGAGUGACGUGUGAUCUGUACAAAUUUCAGGACUAAUAAAUCUACCUGUCAGAGGAAGGAGACUUGAAAGGCCCGCUGCCCCACGGCGCAGCUUAAAUGCAACUGCCGUUGAUGAAAUCCUGUAGGCUGGAGAAUUACAGCUGUCAGGGAAAAAGAAAAAACGCCUACAUCAGAUCUGACGGCGCUGCCUGGCUCCUUUUUUCCAACCUGUUCUCUGUCUCACAACAACCUCUCCUCCCCUCCCUUUUUAUACAUCCCCCUUUCCUCCCCACACUCAUUUCCUCUCUUUUGUUUCUAAUCCAAAAUACGUGUGACAUGAACUUUAAAAAAAAAAAAAAAGAAAAACCCGGCGUGGGAAAUAUUAUCUCUCUCCCGACGACGUGCAAGCAGGAAAUAUAUUCUCUAAAAAUGUUCUUGUUUGUUCUUUUUCUCUCACAUACAAAAAAAAAAAACUCUCUGGGAGGAACAAAGCUUAAAUCAUAUCGCACAGCUGUUUUGCUUUUCCAUUACAGAGCGCGGGGCUUUUUGAAGUUCAGCUGGACCACGGCCAGUAAAGAGACAUAUUCACUGCUGGUCCGUGACAGCUAUAAACAUCAGCUCACCCGCUCCAUCAUCUCAAGAGAGAAGCAUAAACCAGCUGAGCGUGUUGCUGUAUUUAUGGGAACAGAGCGGACAUGUAAGGCAGCUGAUAGCCAUCUGACCAGGAAACACUAAAUCACAGAUGAAACAGCGGGCGGGCAGGAGGGCAGUUGGAAGCUGUAAAUCACACAUUACAAAGAGCCUGGUGAAUACUGCAGGAACAUUGCUCCACCAUGACAUCGUCCCUCGUAGCCUGCCUUCAAAGCCGGCUCAGGCAGGAAGCAGUCAUUCCCAUUUCCUGUCCGACGACGGCGCAACUGAGGUGUGAAGGUUUUUGUUUUUUUUUCAUGUUUUGGAUAUAUUCUUUUCUCCCAAGGACGUGUGAAUCCAUUGUGACUGUUUCUCCGAGCUGAUGAAAAGAGAUUACAGACGGCACAGGAAUCACAUUUGUAUGAAUGUGACCUCUGACCGUGGUAAAGUUGUCGUCGUGGAAACACCGAUGAUGGGUUUGUUGGUGUCAGGGUUGGUUUUAAAGUUUAAAAGUUAAAAGGAAGACAAAAAGGGACUUUCAAACUAUAAACACCCGGCUUAUCAUCACUUGUUUUGUUUUUUUUUACGUGCACUUAUAUAUUGUUCAUACAAUGUAUAAAGUGACAGGAUUCAUUCGUAGUGAUAAAUUAUCACACUUUAUUUCAGCUCAUUGUUUAACUUCACUGUCGUAGCAUUGUUUUUGGUUAUUUCCUCGUCGUAAGCUACCUGCUCAGUGCCAAACAGACAAAGUUAGAGACCAGCUGUUGAAAAUAUUGACGCACUCAGCAGCUAAAGAGACAGAUAUUUCUCUGUUAUGCUGUAUAUUAGCAUGCUAAUGUUAGUUAGUAGCACUAAACAGUAAACAACCUGACUUCGGAGAUCCAAAGCGCCACCGUGAGGUUGAUAUUUUUAGUUUAGAGUGAAAUGUUUGACAACUAUUUGAUGGAUUGCCAUUAAAAUGUAUACACAAAUUGAGGGUUAAUUGCAAUCACUUUGGUUGUGCAUUAAAUUUUCCUUUAGUUAGCAGGUGGAGCGUCUUUAAAGAGAGGAAGAGGUGGAGGCUCUGACGUUGCAGGAUAUGACCAAAGUGUAGUAUGCACAAGAGCAGGGGACCAAGUACGGAGCCCUGGAGGACGCCACGGGUGACGGGCUGUGGCACAUUAACAACUGUUUAUUAGUCCCUCAAGGAUUUCACAGGCUUUGUUAUGGUCUAAAAUUAAUUUAAAAUGAUGUUAUAGCAUCUUUUCUAAGAAAUUGCAAUUGCAUCUUGCAAUAUUUUUAUGUUUUUGGGAGUUUUAUUCAAUGAAAUUGCAGGAGAAAGUAAAAAUAUAUAUAUUUUGGUGACAUCAACAUUGUGCAGGAGAGACUGCUAUGAUUUACUCGCCAGAAACUACAAUAAUUGGUGCAUAAUUUACAGGGUAUUGGUCAAGUUUGUGUAUCAUAGCAACUUCCUGGAGGGACUGAGAGGAUCUGAACCACAAUGUAAAAAAGAGAUGUUGAGAAAACUCACAACUUCAAGGCAACUUCACUAAUAUUUAAAGUUUUAACUCUUACGUUUUGUAAUGAACUAAUAAAAAGUUUGGCCAACCUAUAAUCUUUGUUUCUUCUUUAGAAAAACGCAAUUACUUCAAAAUUGUUCCCAGGAAGCAGUGAAAUUUAAUUAUUCAAUGUUUUUCACUUUAAUGAGUUUUCUGAACAAUUUUUAAAAAUUCAAGAUUCAAGUUUUUCUAAAUAAGGUUUAAGACUUAAAACUCAAAAAAUUUAAUGAAGAUUGGCCUUGAAAGUGCCCAGAGGAAGACAAGUUGUUGUUGUAGUAGGUCAUUACUUUUAAUAAAUUGUUGUGUUUACAGCAGAAUCCAGAUUAAAAUGCUUUAUAAAAAAAGGUCGUUUGAAUCCUGUUUGGCUAUUAUUUUUCCAGUUUUAAUAAAAUAUGUGAGUGUGUGCGAGAAAGCUAGCCGUUGUUCCUGCAGCUCGGUACUACCAAGUUCACCUGUCACCUAAAGGCCCUCAGUGAUUUAUCCUGUCAAUCAUUCGACUCAGGACGUCUAAAGGAAGGUGAAAUAAAAAACAAAGCAUAUGAUAUUGAAGCAAUAAGUGAUAUUAUUUUAAUUUAAUUCAGUUAUGUUGUAAUUUCAGGCGGUGAUGAUGCUCAUUUUGGGUGUGUUUGAUGUGUCACACUGCCGGGGAUGCAGUUAGUAAGUGAAUGUGAACCCCAUUAGCCCCGGAUCACCAGACUUGUUAAGCAGCAGCACCUUCUGCAAUAAUUUACAACCCUUUCAUCUCAGCAGAAUGUGUUUCUUGUCGAGUGUUAAUGGAAGUAAUCCAUUCUUCCUGUCAGCGCUGGGAAACACUUUGUUUUCUGUACAAAUUGUGUUUGGGUGGACGACGCUGGUCGUGUAUUCGGAGGCGGUGGAAGAUGUUUGCCUUGAGUACGUCUCAUACGUGCAAGGUUUUGAGGACAGGAGUGUUUCUAUUUUAGUGUCACAGAGGAUGUAUAUACAGUACAGUCUGCUCUAUAUACUGAACCAUGCUUAUGUGAACAUGAAUCUCACAGUGUGAUUUAUAUGGAGAAAAACAGGAACACAGUUUUGAGGUACUUUUUCUAUUAAAUUAAUCUGCCAGCUUUGGUGUUUAGAUAUUUUACACACAAUACAUGGGCUUUUAAAACUAUGAUUAAUUGCUAUAGACAUAGUUAAUAUUAGCUUGAUGAACUACAGCAUCAAGAUGCAGCUUAUAUGUUAAUAUAUCAGUGAUAACAAUUCAAUAAUGUAACAUAUAUAAUAAAAAUAAAGCAGAUUUUCUGCAUAAUUAGUCUUUUAAUGUUGGAUAUUUAAAGAGGAGCUCCAGAAAUUCAAUACUGAAACACAGUGGAUCCUACCGUUUCUAUCAUAACAGCAGCCAACAAGCUGUAAACACAACCUUUACAUACUAUUACCACGUUGUUGUGGUGAUUCUGAUGGCAAACAGUUGUUAAUCUGCACAUCCUUUACACAAAGAGCAACUUUAUUAUUCAUCUGGAUUCGUGUUUCACUCUCCUUUUAGCUCCGUUUUUGGUCUCCACCAACUCCUGAGAGGAAAUAUUGUCGCUCUUUAGCUGCUCAAAGCUCCACUUCGUUCACCAGCUGGUCUCUAACUUCGUCUGUCAGCCAUUUGCAGGUAGUUUCAGUACAUCAGAGCUCAUUUACUGAACACAUGCACACACACACACACACACACACAAAUGUAUCCACACUUAUUUAAGGUAAUGAACAGCCAACCACAAGAUGGCUGCCUCUCUCGCUCUCCCUCCUUUAAGACACCUUCUUUGGUUUUACUUGUUUUUCAGCUUGUGUUUAGUUCAGCCUGCAUUCAUGUUUUACACCUACAUUUAAUUAUUGACUUCACAAAAGUACAUUUAGUUUACAGUCAGUUAUUAUUAAUUGUUAAUUAUUGGUUUAUUUAAACCGUUACUGUGUUCUUUUGUUAGGCUUUUGAACAAGAUGGGUGUAACGUGUCCAAAUUCCUGCACACAAAAGUUGCUAUACAGGCUUGUUUUAGCAAAAAACUAUGAAACACUUCAGUAUUUAAACUGUAGCUCUUGACAGAGACACAUUAACUACAGACACAACAAACAACAAGUGACUGAAUGAAAACUCAGUAACUCACUCUGAAACCAAAACAACGAGCUGAAAGACCCAAAAACGCUCUGUAAAGCCAAUUAAAUAUAAAAAAUAUUGAUUAGUGCAGCUUUAAGUAAAGUAUUUUGGCAACUCUUCUGUACUUUUGUGCGUCUCUAUUAAACUCCACAGACUCCAUAUUAUGGUUUAUUGAUAUGUGUGAACAUUUUAGCUCGAGCAAUAUCGGUAAUGAUGUUAAUUCAUUCACACUGCAGCCAGCGUUUCUUCCCCUCGUAUGAGAGU